CGGACGGGUGAGUAAUGUCUGGGAAACUGCCCGAUGGAGGGGGAUAACUACUGGAAACGGUAGCUAAUACCGCAUAAUGUCUGCGGACCAAAGCGGGGAACCUCCGGGCCUCGCGCCAUCAGAUGAACCCAUAUGGGAUUAGCUUGUAGGUAAGGUAACGGCUUACCUAGGCGACGAUCCCUAGCUGGUCUGAGAGGAUGAUCAGCCACACUGGGACUGAGACACGGCCCAG
This 232-nucleotide ribosomal RNA is filed under the name uncultured bacterium. Its description in RNAcentral is "partial 16S ribosomal RNA". It matches the Rfam family "Bacterial small subunit ribosomal RNA", at positions 99 to 334 of the family's 1533-position model. The record is from RNAcentral.